Long non-coding RNA from Cucurbita maxima (winter squash), 740 nucleotides. RefSeq lists it as uncharacterized. Lineage: Eukaryota; Viridiplantae; Streptophyta; Magnoliopsida; Cucurbitales; Cucurbitaceae. The record is from RefSeq and is a predicted model, not a curated record. The transcript has 3 exons.
CCAAAUACAUUGAUCGAAUGGCGCCUUCUUCCUCUAUUGCCGCCGAAGCAUCGUGAAAUUCUCCUUCUCCUUCCUCCUGUAAUGCCGUAGGAUCGUGAAUUCAUUCUCCGUCUCCUUCCUCCUGUAAUGCCGUAGGAUCGUGAAUUCAUUCUCCGUCUCCUUCACUGAUUCUUCGACGAGCUGACGAUUCGAGUUGUAAGAAAUCCGCUUCGAGCCGUAGUCCUAGUCCUUUACGAAUUUGGAAAUCAUUGAAACUUAUCAUUCAGACUAGCAUUGUGGAUUGAAAAUCCGAGUCGCAGAGGAUAAUCCAAAAGCCGUGUUUAGUGCACCGAUGAACAAAUGUUCGACGCAUUAAGGCUAUUACAGACAGGAUUAUAGUAAAUAGACAGGAUUGUAUUAAGCACUGUCUUUUUUCUAUGACGGAGAUGUGAUGAUCUUUACUCGAAAUUGACUUCCACAAGUAUACAACGUUCUUCGGAGAUCGUUACGAGCGUUACUUGAGGUGAGUCACUACCCAGAAUGAGCGAGAGUUGACCAGGCUGAGAAUCAUCAUUUAUUAUUGAUGUGACUCGAAAGUUGAAGACUAAAUUAUAAGGAAAUUCACUCGAUGAUUACUCAGUAAGCAGGUAAGUCUUCUAUUCUUGGCUAUAUAAUCUGUUGCAUCCGCUACCAUUUACAUUUCUCGUUAUGAUUAAUCAUCAUUACUCAGUUUUUGUUGGAUGAAAUUUGUUGUUUGCUGU